RNAcentral lists this ribosomal RNA (476 nucleotides) under uncultured bacterium. Its description in RNAcentral is "partial 16S ribosomal RNA". It matches the Rfam family "Bacterial small subunit ribosomal RNA", at positions 28 to 507 of the family's 1533-position model. The record is from RNAcentral.
GAUGAACGCUCGCGGCAGGCCUAACACAUGCAAGUCGAGGGAGAAGCCUUUCGGGGCAGAAACCGGCGCACGGGUGCGUAACGCGUAUGCAACCUACCUUUCACAGGGGGAUAGCCCGAAGAAAUUUGGAUUAAUACCCCAUAAUAUUGUUGGAUGGCAUCAUCUGAUAAUUAAAACUGCGGUGGUGAAAGAUGGGCAUGCGUCCUAUUAGCUAGUUGGAGUGGUAACGGCACCCCAAGGCUACGAUAGGUAGGGGUCCUGAGAGGGAGAUCCCCCACACUGGUACUGAGACAGGGACCAGACUCCUACGGGAGGCAGCAGUGAGGAAUAUUGGUCAAUGGUCGGAAGACUGAACCAGCCAUGCCGCGUGCAGGAAGAAUGCCUUAUGGGUUGUAAACUGCUUUUAUAUGGGAAGAAUAAGGUGUACGUGUACAUUGAUGACGGUACCAUAUGAAUAAGCAUCGGCUAACUCCGUG